Non-coding RNA from Coffea arabica (coffee), 1235 nucleotides. Lineage: Eukaryota; Viridiplantae; Streptophyta; Magnoliopsida; Gentianales; Rubiaceae. The record is from RefSeq and is a predicted model, not a curated record.
UCAUUGUUUAAAUUGUUUUUUUUUUUCAAUUUCAAUUUUUCCUUGCGUGUAUACGGUUUUUGUUUAAUUUAUGUGGGUGGCCUGAAUCUGUUUUGCUUAGAUGGCCUGAAUCUGUUUUUCUUAGGUUUUUGUUUAAUUUAUGUGGGUGGCCUGAAUCUGUUUUUCUUAGAUUUUUGCCCAAUUUUGUACUGCUUUGUCCUGACUAUUUGUUGUCAGGUAGUUCAAGCUAUUUGUCCUGACUAAAUUAGUGUACUAAUGGACAAAAUUGGUGUAGUUGUUCAUGGAGGGACAUUGGUUUUUCAGUCAAUGUAAGAACAUAUCUAGAUAAGAAAUAGUAUUAUGUUAGUACAAUGUGAAUCUAGCGACUGGAGACACCAUUAUUUCCGUCAAUAAGGUGAUGCAUAUACUUGAAGUGUCAUGUUGCUAUAAUUAGUAGGGUUAAAUGCAAAAAACCCCCCACAAACUAUAUACCGAAUUGCAGUUUAUCCCCUAAACUAUAAUAAUAGGCAUUUUGCCCCCUUGAAUGAUAUGUUUGGACAAAUCUAUCCCUUUUAUUUUAAGUAUUGUUAUUUUUCUUUUUUCCCUAUCAUUUUCUUUUUAAAUUCUUCUUUUUUUUCUUUAAACAUUGUUUAAAUAAGUAGACUAGAUUAGUCAAAAAUUUAUUUCUUAAUUUCGUAUGCCAAUAUUUUAUUAAAAAAAAAAAAUCUAUGGAAUACAAGAUUUUUUUUCCAAAUGUUGAAGUCAAUGUCAUUUAAGAAAUUGAACUUUUCAAAUGUAUAAUAACAAAAUAGAGAAAUUGAUUAAUCAAUCAUUAGUAGUAUCAAUAACAAAAAAGAUGAACUACUAUUGUUGUUUAUUCUUAUUUUUUAUUUCACUACAAAUAACAAUUGCUAACUUUUCUUUUUUAUGUGAUAUAAAAUGUUACUUUUAUUAUAAGUAGUUGAGUAACUGUAAACUCUUCAUUAGUUUAUAGGUACUUAAAUUGUUGAAUUAUUUGAUUAAUACACUUUACAAUAUAAGCUACAAAUAUUUUGUAAUAACAAAGAGUUUAUGACAAAUUAUUAAGAAUGAAUUUAACAAAUAAACAAAUUUAAAAGUAGUUUAAAAAAUAUUAAAAUUUUUUAUGUAAGUCUUUUCACAUCGGAGAGAGAUGUUGGUUAGUUCCAAGAGACAAGGAGAGCAAAAAGAAAAUAAAAGGAAAAAAAAUGAAAAAAUCUAAUAGAGAAAAAAAAAAA